AAUACAUGCAAGUCGAACGCUUCUUUUUCCACCGGAGCUUGCUCCACCGGAAAAAGAGGAGUGGCGAACGGGUGAGUAACACGUGGGUAACCUGCCCAUCAGAAGGGGAUAACACUUGGAAACAGGUGCUAAUACCGUAUAACAAUCGAAACCGCAUGGUUUUGAUUUGAAAGGCGCUUUCGGGUGUCGCUGAUGGAUGGACCCGCGGUGCAUUAGCUAGUUGGUGAGGUAACGGCUCACCAAGGCCACGAUGCAUAGCCGACCUGAGAGGGUGAUCGGCCACAUUGGGACUGAGACACGGCCCAAACUCCUACGGGAGGCAGCAGUAGGGAAUCUUCGGCAAUGGACGAAAGUCUGACCGAGCAACGCCGCGUGAGUGAAGAAGGUUUUCGGAUCGUAAAACUCUGUUGUUAGAGAAGAACAAGGAUGAGAGUAACUGUUCAUCCCUUGACGGUAUCUAACCAGAAAGCCACGGCUAACUACGUGCCAGCAGCCGCGGUAAUACGUAGGUGGCAAGCGUUGUCCGGAUUUAUUGGGCGUAAAGCGAGCGCAGGCGGUUUCUUAAGUCUGAUGUGAAAGCCCCCGGCUCAACCGGGGAGGGUCAUUGGAAACUGGGAGACUUGAGUGCAGAAGAGGAGAGUGGAAUUCCAUGUGUAGCGGUGAAAUGCGUAGAUAUAUGGAGGAACAGUGGGGAGCAAACAGGAUUAGAUACCCUGGUAGUCCACGCCGUAAACGAUGAGUGCUAAGUGUUGGAGGGUUUCCGCCCUUCAGUGCUGCAGCUAACGCAUUAAGCACUCCGCCUGGGGAGUACGACCGCAAGGUUGAAACUCAAAGGAAUUGACGGGGGCCCGCACAAGCGGUGGAGCAUGUGGUUUAAUUCGAAGCAACGCGAAGAACCUUACCAGGUCUUGACAUCCUUUGACCACUCUAGAGAUAGAGCUUCCCCUUCGGGGGCAAAGUGACAGGUGGUGCAUGGUUGUCGUCAGCUCGUGUCGUGAGAUGUUGGGUUAAGUCCCGCAACGAGCGCAACCCUUAUUGUUAGUUGCCAUCAUUCAGUUGGGCACUCUAGCAAGACUGCCGGUGACAAACCGGAGGAAGGUGGGGAUGACGUCAAAUCAUCAUGCCCCUUAUGACCUGGGCUACACACGUGCUACAAUGGGAAGUACAACGAGUUGCGAAGUCGCGAGGCUAAGCUAAUCUYUUAAAGCUUCUCUCAGUUCGGAUUGCAGGCUGCAACUCGCCUGCAUGAAGCCGGAAUCGCUAGUAAUCGCGGAUCAGCACGCCGCGGUGAAUACGUUCCCGGGCCUUGUACACACCGCCCGUCACACCACGAGAGUUUGUAACACCCGAAGUCGGUGAGGUAACCUUUUGGAGCCAGCCGCCUAAG
This 1387-nucleotide ribosomal RNA is filed under the name Enterococcus faecium. Its description in RNAcentral is "bacterial SSU rRNA". Lineage: Bacteria; Bacillati; Bacillota; Bacilli; Lactobacillales; Enterococcaceae. The record is from RNAcentral.